GGUUCCAUAGUGUAGCUGGUCAUCACUCCAGACUUUGAACAACGGCUGCAGUAGCAUGAUAGAAAUCUGGCGACCGGAGUUCGAAUCUCGGUGGGACCU
Borealophlyctis nickersoniae is the source of this 99-nucleotide non-coding RNA. The record is from the annotation of a GenBank genome assembly. NCBI's taxonomy places the organism in Eukaryota, Fungi, Chytridiomycota, Chytridiomycetes, Rhizophlyctidales, Borealophlyctidaceae.